UUUGUUUUAAAUGAUUAACUUUCUGUCAGGCUUUUGGAAUAUACCCGUUUAUCAAUGUACAAUAUGACGUGAUUAUGUUCUCUUCUUCAUGCUAUUUCACUACAUCGAAAAGAAAAAAAAAAUUAUUAUUUAAUUUUUUUUGUUUUUUCAUUUUUUUACCAGGUUGAUGUGAAAAUACAUAACUCCAGAGAAACUUCUAAAGAUAGUAUUCUUUCCAACUACACAAUAGAAGCUGAGGCCUUGGUCUGCUGAGCAAGUAAGGGCUCUUGAUUUGUUAUUUCUUUUUGUUUCUUCCUGUCUUGUUCUUAAGGUAAAAGCAACCAUUUUAAGUUAUAUGCACUUUUUUUCUUAUUAGUAUUCAUUGGGUCGUCGAUGAUUUCCAAAAGUAUCUGUCAGAUGCUGGACGUACCUGGGCACUGGGAAUAUUUUAAUGGAGAGAUGGAAAUUAAAAGAUCGGAUGAGGAGGAAUCAAAAAAAAAAAAAAAAAAAAAAAAAGAGAUCGGAUAAGGACACAUGACGUAAUAUGAAGGGGUGAAAAUCUUUUUGUAAACCUGCACGGAUUCUAGUUAUACGUGGCACACAAUGGCGAAGCCACUAAAGGACCAGCCAAGCCUCAUUUUUUUCUCCAUCCAUCUUUUUGCAGUGCAGUUUUCACUUCCCCUCCUUAUUCUAUCAACUUUUCCUUGGGUUAUCUUAUAUUUCAGAAAAAAAAAAAAAUCAUACUUACCUUUUACCUCAUAUUCAAGUUUCUGGAUUUGUACAAUGUUUUUGGUUUUCUCUAUUGAAUUUACGGUCCUUCAAUUUU
Molecule: long non-coding RNA, 805 nt
Organism: Pyrus x bretschneideri (Chinese white pear)
Lineage: Eukaryota; Viridiplantae; Streptophyta; Magnoliopsida; Rosales; Rosaceae
Exons: 3
Source: RefSeq, a predicted model, not a curated record